CCCACUCGCAUUCUGUCUCUGUCUCUCUCAAAAAUAAACAUUAAAAAAAAAAAGUCAGUGUGGCAGUUGUUAAUGACAACAACGUACUCCAAGGACGGUGGUCGGGGGUAGGGGCACCUCAAGUACAGCUCCCACUAGCCUCUAUGUCUGGUCUUAUGCUCACUCUCCUCCACUCACGACCCUCUGCCCUCUCGCAGCGGCCGGCUUCUCUACAUCGAGUCUCUUCUCCUCCCUCCCAUCAUUCUUCUGUACCUGUCUCCAGACUGAACGUGUCCUUCCAGAACUCAUGUGUUGAAACCUCACCCCAGUACGAUGAUGGUUGGAGGUGGGGUCUUCCUGGACGUGAUUUAGGUCAGGAGGGUGGAGCCCUCGUGAAAGGGGUUAGGUCCUUAUAAGAGAGACCUCAGAGAGCUCCCGUGUCCCAUCUGCCAUGCGAGGACACAGCAAGAAGACAACCAUCUGUGAAUCAGGAAUUGGGCCUUUACCAGACACCGAAUCUGCCAACACCUUGACCUUGGACUUCCAGCCUCCAGACCUGUGAGAUGUAAAGGUCUGUUGUUAGAGCCACCCAGGGCAUGGAGCUUUGUUACGGCAGCCUGAAUGGACUGAGACGUGCUUUUUUGUGUUCUCCCUCUUUUUACCCCUUCACUCAUCCCCUUUGAGCUUUCUCUUCCUCUUCCUCUCAUUUUCGAUUUGCCUCUUCUCCCCCGCCCACCUUCUCCCUUCUUGGCCAAGUCCAUGGAACUAAGCUUUAUGUUAAAGUGGCCUUCUGAUUUAUUAAGUACCAGUCUCUCAGUUCUUAAUUUUUCUCGCGGAGCAUUGGAAUCUUACGGGCAUUUGCACCGCAACAAAGGACAGAUUAAUUUUUUUUUAGUUGUGUGUGGCCAAAAAAAAAAAAAAGAAUAAACGUUCUCUGUGAUGACAGGUGGCUCUUGAGAAGGUGAGGAGUGCCUGGCAGAAUCCCCCGGACGCCCCGCUGCUUCUGCACACCGGAAUAGCCUGGCAGUUUCUCUCUCUCACCUGAGCAGUAGCAUCCAGAAAGCUGGCCAGUUCCCAAGUGAUGGAAGCAAGUUACCCUACUGCCCACAGCUCGUACUUUAUGAAGAAAAACAAAGGAUCUGCGGGUGGUGUCUGACUUUAUGUAGGGAAUUAGCUCAUACGCUCCUUGGCACAGUGCUUUCCCCCUUCUGGAUGCUCAAGAAAUAUGAUUUGAUGAUAAGCCUGCCUGUGAUUUCCAGAUGCCUUUGUUUCCCUCCUGUUGGUUCCUCAGUCUUGCCAGGGAAGUUUUACUUGAGUGAGAGAGAGGGCCCAUGAGCAGGACGGAGGGGC
Molecule: long non-coding RNA, 1329 nt
Organism: Leopardus geoffroyi (Geoffroy's cat)
Lineage: Eukaryota; Metazoa; Chordata; Mammalia; Carnivora; Felidae
Exons: 3
Source: RefSeq, a predicted model, not a curated record